Molecule: ribosomal RNA, 482 nt
Filed under: uncultured bacterium
Lineage: Bacteria
Description: partial 16S ribosomal RNA
Rfam family: Bacterial small subunit ribosomal RNA
Source: RNAcentral
AUUGAACGCUGGCGGCAUGCUUUACACAUGCAAGUCGAACGGCAGCGCGGGGCAACCUGGCGGCGAGUGGCGAACGGGUGAGUAAUAUAUCGGAACGUACCCAGAAGUGGGGGAUAACGUAGCGAAAGUUACGCUAAUACCGCAUACGAUCUACGGAUGAAAGUAGGGGACCGCAAGGCCUUAUGCUUUUGGAGCGGCCGAUAUCUGAUUAGCUAGUUGGUGAGGUAAAGGCUCACCAAGGCGACGAUCAGAAGCUGGUCUGAGAGGACGACCAGCCACACUGGAACUGAGACACGGUCCAGACUCCUACGGGAGGCAGCAGUGGGGAAUUUUGGACAAUGGGCGCAAGCCUGAUCCAGCAAUGCCGCGUGAGUGAAGAAGGCCUUCGGGUUGUAAAGCUCUUUUGUCAGGGAAGAAACGGUAGAGGCUAAUAUCCUUUGCUAAUGACGGUACCUGAAGAAUAAGCACCGGCUAACUACGUG